AGUAAAGUCAGCUAAUAAAGCUCUUGGGCCCAUACCCCAAAAAUGUUGGUAAAAACCCCUCCUUUACUA
RNAcentral lists this transfer RNA (69 nucleotides) under Zootoca vivipara (common lizard). RNAcentral's name for it is "tRNA-Met". It matches the Rfam family "tRNA". From Rfam's summary of the family: Transfer RNA (tRNA) molecules are approximately 80 nucleotides in length. Lineage: Eukaryota; Metazoa; Chordata; Lepidosauria; Squamata; Lacertidae. The record is from RNAcentral.